AACGAACGCUGGCGGCAUGCCUAACACAUGCAAGUCGAACGAGACAUUCGGGCUUAGUGGCGCACGGGUGCGUAACGCGUGGGAACUUGCCCUUAGGUUCGGAAUACAUCCCUGAAAGGGGUGCUCAUACCGGAGAAUGUCUUCGGAGCAAAGAUUUCUUGCCUUUGGGUGGGCGCGCGUUGGAUUAGCUGGUUGGUAGGGUAAUAGCCUACUAAGGAGACGAUGCUGAGCUGGUUUGAGAGGAUGAUCAGCCACACUGGGACUGAGACACGGCCAAGACUCCUACGGGAGGGAGCAGUGGAGAAUAUUGGACAAUGGGCGAAAGCCUGGUCCAGCAAUGCCGCGUGAGUGAUGAAGGCCUUAGGGUUGGGAAGCUCUUUUACCCGGGAUGAUAAUGACAGUACCGGGAGAAUAAGCACCGGCUAACUCCGUG
Molecule: ribosomal RNA, 433 nt
Filed under: uncultured bacterium
Lineage: Bacteria
Description: partial 16S ribosomal RNA
Rfam family: Bacterial small subunit ribosomal RNA
Source: RNAcentral